RNAcentral lists this ribosomal RNA (467 nucleotides) under uncultured bacterium. RNAcentral describes it as "partial 16S ribosomal RNA". It matches the Rfam family "Bacterial small subunit ribosomal RNA", at positions 29 to 507 of the family's 1533-position model. The record is from RNAcentral.
ACGAACGCUGGCGGCGUGCUUAACACAUGCAAGUCGAACGGAAAGGCCCUGCUUUUGUGGGGUGCUCGAGUGGCGAACGGGGGAGUAACACGUGAGUAACCUGCCCUUGACUUUGGGAUAACUUCAGGAAACUGGGGCUAAUACCGGAUAGGAGCUCCUGCUGCAUGGUGGGGGUCGGAAAGUUUCGGCGGUUGGGGAUGGACUCGCGGCUUAUCAGCUUGUUGGUGGGGUAGUGGCUUACCAAGGCUUUGACGGGUAGCCGGCCUGAGAGGGUGACCGGCCACAUUGGGACUGAGAUACGGCCCAGACUCCUACGGGAGGCAGCAGUGGGGAAUAUUGCACAAUGGGCGGAAGCCUGAUGCAGCAACGCCGCGUGCGGGAUGACGGCCUUCGGGUUGUAAACCGCUUUCGCCUGUGACGAAGCGUGAGUGACGGUAAUGGGUAAAGAAGCACCGGCUAACUACGUG